GGGCCGUUUUCUGUCCCCCAAGAGUUGCAACCGGCAUUGAUUUUGCUCGCGAUUUUCCCGCCCUCUCACGGCGGAAACAGGGGUUCGAUUCCCCUACGGGCUGCCA
This 106-nucleotide transfer RNA is filed under the name Methyloceanibacter caenitepidi. Its description in RNAcentral is "tRNA-Ser (CGA) (tRNA-Ser-CGA-2-1)". The record is from RNAcentral. Lineage: Bacteria; Pseudomonadati; Pseudomonadota; Alphaproteobacteria; Hyphomicrobiales; Hyphomicrobiaceae.